UACAGAGGGUGCAAACGUUGUUCGGAAUUACUGGGCGUAAAGCGCGUGUAGGCUGCUCAGUAAGUCAGGUGUGAAAGCCCUGGGCUCAACCCAGGAAGUGCACUUGAAACUGCCAGGCUAGAGUACUGGAGAGGUUGGUGGAAUUCUCGGUGUAGAGGUGAAAUUCGUAGAUAUUCGCAAGAACACCAGUGGCGAAGGCGGCUCACUGGCCCGAUACUGACGCUGAGGCACGAAAGCGUGGGGAGCAAACAGG
This 253-nucleotide ribosomal RNA is filed under the name uncultured bacterium. Its description in RNAcentral is "partial 16S ribosomal RNA". It matches the Rfam family "Bacterial small subunit ribosomal RNA", at positions 524 to 776 of the family's 1533-position model. The record is from RNAcentral.